This 749-nucleotide ribosomal RNA is filed under the name Abutilon theophrasti (China jute). RNAcentral describes it as "eukaryotic LSU rRNA". The stretch from base 341 to 496 matches the Rfam family "5.8S ribosomal RNA". Lineage: Eukaryota; Viridiplantae; Streptophyta; Magnoliopsida; Malvales; Malvaceae. The record is from RNAcentral.
AAGUCGUAACAAGGUUUCCGUAGGUGAACCUGCGGAAGGAUCAUUGUCGAAACCUGCCUAGCAGAACGACCCGUGAAUGCGUUAUCAUACAAAACACCGAGAGGGUGCGGAUGCAAUAUUGCCCCAACCCCUCUCGAUGCCUUGCUGCGUUUGGUCUUGCCUCAUUCCACCUUGUGAGGGUGAGUUGCAAUUCCCAUCCACUCCAAGGCAAAACCAACAACCCCCGGCGCGAAUUGCGCCAAGGAAAUUAAAUGAAAAGAGUGCAACGUUACUGUCUCCGACCCGUUCGCGGUGUUUGUGAGGGAGUGUCGCUGUUACUUUUGUCGUGAAAAUACAAAACGACUCUCGGCAACGGAUAUCUCGGCUCUCGCAUCGAUGAAGAACGUAGCGAAAUGCGAUACUUGGUGUGAAUUGCAGAAUCCCGUGAACCAUCGAGUCUUUGAACGCAAGUUGCGCCCCAAGCCAUUAGGCCGAGGGCACGUCUGCCUGGGUGUCACGCAUCGUUGCCCCCAUCAAACCUCGAGCUUAUUCGGCUCAGGUCAAAUUGUGGGCGGAAAUUGGCUUCCCGUGUGCUCACCGUGCGCGGCUGGCCUAAAAAUGAGUUUUCGGCGAUGAAGUGCCGCAACAAUCGGUGGGAAUGCUUUCAGCUGCCUCGUUCGAAGUUGUGUGUGCUCGUCGAUUCGAACCCUAUGACCCUUUUGGCAUCACAAUGUUGGUGCUCGCAUCGCGACCCCAGGUCAGGCGGGAUU